Molecule: ribosomal RNA, 429 nt
Filed under: uncultured prokaryote
Also listed under: 1 other name
Description: bacterial SSU rRNA
Rfam family: Bacterial small subunit ribosomal RNA
Source: RNAcentral
UGGGGAAUCUUCCGCAAUGGACGAAAGUCUGACGGAGCAACGCCGCGUGAAUUAAGAAGGCCCUCGGGUCGUAAAAUUCUGUUGUUAGGGAAGAAUGUGCUUUUUGUAAAUAAUGAGAAGUAAUGACGGUACCUAAAGAGGAAGCCACGGCUAACUACGUGCCAGCAGCCGCGGUAAUACGUAGGUGGCGAGCGUUGUCCGGAAUUAUUGGGCGUAAAGAGCAUGUAGGUGGGAAUGUAAGUCUGUUGUUAAAAUGCGGAGCUCAACUCCGGAUUGCACUGGAAACUACAUUUCUUGAGUGGAGGAGAGGAAAGGGGAAUUCCCAGUGUAGCGGUGAAAUGCGUAGAUAUUGGGAGGAACACCAGUGGCGAAGGCGCCUUUCUGGACUGUGUCUGACACUGAGAUGCGAAAGCUAGGGGAGCGAACGGG